UCAUUACCAGUUUUGAAUUCUGCAAGAUAUCGAUAAUAAUCUCCCUUCAUCUUAUAAAAGAACACUUUUGAUUCACCAGCAGAAGCCGAAGGGAUUAGAUGCUCAUCUAUUACGAUCAUGAUAUCAUUGCAGAUGUUUGUAAGCUCUGAUUCAACCUUCUGUCUAUACUCCUUGAUCCGCUUCACAUUAAAUUCAUUUCCUUUGGUUUCUUCCUUUUGUUCUAUGGAUGACAGAAUUCUCCAUGAUGCUCUCCUAGC
Molecule: unclassified non-coding RNA, 257 nt
Filed under: Hevea brasiliensis (rubber tree)
Lineage: Eukaryota; Viridiplantae; Streptophyta; Magnoliopsida; Malpighiales; Euphorbiaceae
Source: RNAcentral